RNAcentral lists this unclassified non-coding RNA (303 nucleotides) under Glomeromycotina sp. Its description in RNAcentral is "partial contains small subunit ribosomal RNA, internal transcribed spacer 1, and 5.8S ribosomal RNA". The stretch from base 1 to 47 matches the Rfam family "Eukaryotic small subunit ribosomal RNA", at positions 1785 to 1831 of the family's 1831-position model. Lineage: Eukaryota; Fungi; Glomeromycota. The record is from RNAcentral.
AAAGUCGUAACAAGGUUUCCGUAGGUGAACCUGCGGAAGGAUCAUUAAUGCUUAGCAUAAGCAGAAGCGUCUUUUGAUGCCCUGCUCAAUGCAUCGCCUUAUUCCAAACUCUCGAAGCUUUUUUUCUCUUGGAAAAAAGUCUUCGACGUCACAAGUAACUUGAGGACGUUUCUCUUUGGAGAGAUGUUCCUCUACCUUUUAUUACCAUCAUUACCCUACUUAAACUUAUUAGACUGAUAUCACAAAACAUUUAUUUCUGAUAAAUGGAAAAAACAACUCUUAGCAAUGGAUAUCUAGGCUCUC